GCAAGGAGGGGCGGCUCCAGCUGCGUCUGACUCAGAGCUCCAGAGAAAGUUCCAGCUUCUCCCGGCUUGUUCUAAGGGCGAGCGGUUGGGGCAGAAUUCAGUGGUCUGGAAGCAAACCUGCAAUCUCUCCAAGGUAUAGCCUGUAUUGCCAAUGAGGUGUGAUGUGAAAACAGCCACUGAAGAUUCCCGGGUUGGCUCCUAGAUGAAGAUACUGAAACCUCCACCAGAUGGGAGAAAUUAACGAUGG
Balaenoptera musculus (blue whale) is the source of this 247-nucleotide long non-coding RNA. RefSeq lists it as uncharacterized. NCBI's taxonomy places the organism in Eukaryota, Metazoa, Chordata, Mammalia, Artiodactyla, Balaenopteridae. The record is from RefSeq and is a predicted model, not a curated record. The transcript is spliced from 3 exons.